This 496-nucleotide ribosomal RNA is filed under the name uncultured bacterium. RNAcentral describes it as "partial 16S ribosomal RNA". It matches the Rfam family "Bacterial small subunit ribosomal RNA", at positions 28 to 506 of the family's 1533-position model. The record is from RNAcentral.
GAUGAACGCUGGCGGCGUGCCUAAUACAUGCAAGUCGAGCGAACGGACGAGAAGCUUGCUUCUCUGAUGUUAGCGGCGGACGGGUGAGUAACACGUGGAUAACCUACCUAUAAGACUGGGAUAACUUCGGGAAACCGGAGCUAAUACCGGAUGAUAUUUUGAACCGCAUGGUUCAAAAGUGAAAGACGGUCUUGCUGUCACUUAUAGAUGGAUCCGCGCUGCAUUAGCUAGUUGGUAAGGUAACAGCUUACCAAGGCAACGAUGCAUAGCCGACCUGAGAGGGGGAACGGCCACUCAGGAACUGAGACACGGGACAGACACCGAGGGGAGGCAGAAGUAGGGAAGCUUGCGCAAUGGGCGAAAGCCUGACGGAGCAACGGCGCGUGAGUGAUGAAGGGCUUCGGGUCGGAUAACUCUGUUAUUAGGGAAGAACAUAUGUGUAAGUAACUGUGCACAUCUUGACGGUACCUAAACAGAAAGCCACGGCUAACUACGU